Molecule: ribosomal RNA, 411 nt
Filed under: Culicoides pseudopallidipennis
Lineage: Eukaryota; Metazoa; Arthropoda; Insecta; Diptera; Ceratopogonidae
Description: partial 16S ribosomal RNA
Source: RNAcentral
CUUGACCGGACAAGUAGCAUAAUCUAUUGUCUUUUAAUUAAAGGCUUGUAUGAAUGGUUGGAUGAGAUAUCAACUAUUUUUAUUUUAAUAAAAAUGAAUUUUAAUUUUUAGUAAAAAUGCUAAAAUAAAAAAAUUAGACGAGAAGACCCUAUAAAUCUUUAUUUUUAAAAGAUAAUAUUAAUUUUGUAAAUUAUUAAAUAUUUAUUUUUAAAAAAUUUAAUUGGGAGGAUAAUGAAAUUUAAUAAACUUUUAUUUUAUUUUAUAAAUAUAAUUAAAUUAAUGAAUAUAUUAUAAUGUUUAAAAAAUUAAGUUACUUUAGGGAUAACAGCGUAAUUAUUUUAAAGAGUUCUUAUCGAUAAAAUAGUUUGCGACCUCGAUGUUGAAUUAAGAAUUAAUUAGGCGCAAAAGCUA